GCGGCCAGGUACCUGCCAGGUGCGACCAGGCACUUCCAGGUGCGACCAGGUACCUCCCAGGUGCGGCCAGGCGCCGCCUCAUCUCUCAGUGGGCGACUGUAUUUAUUCUAAACCUAGACUGAGAGAUGACAGCUUCGAGUUUGAUCGGGAAGGAAACACCUCGCAUGCCAAGCACAAAGGGGCUUACUCGUUUCUUUCCUGCAGCGGCAGCUUUCACCCUCCCUCCUGUUUCUCCGCUUUCCCUCCUUUCCCUCCACCAUUCCCCGCCCACCCCUGCCCUUCCCGGGUGGGACACGUGAGCUGGUUUGCUGCCCGGAUGGAGGCUCUAGGGCUCCGCAGCUCCCAAGGCGCUCCCGGAUGAGUCUGCGACGCGUGGAGCGACAGCGCUGCGCCAGCCUCGUGGCCCACACCUGCGGCUUGAUGUGUUUCUUAAAGGGCCCUUCCCUCUUUCCCGCUGCAGCUGACCUCUCUUCAGCCUCCUCGCUCACCUUAGUUUCACCUUAUCCACGUUCUUGCGCUCUCAGUGUUUGUCCCCUACAACCCCUUUCCUUCCUGUACUGACUUUCACCAUUACCUUCUCUUCUUUCCUCUCAUUUACAUAUCUGUUUUUAUCUUCACUGUUUAGCUGGGGUCUCACCCCUUACCCCUGUCCCCAUUAACCCAGCCUUUUCCCUCCUUUUCUUCUCAAUGUUUUUGAACCCCUUUUCCUCAGCUAGCCAUGAGUAACACUUGACAGCGGUAGAACCUGGCUUACUUCUGGAACUAGAAGGAGAUCCUCGAAAUAACUAAAUUUAGGACACGCUUCGCCGACAUAUUAAACAGAGCACAGGAGAAAAGAGGAGCAUGAGAACCCAGAGGAAAUUGUACCUAUUCAGAAGUGUGGAGUGAGGAUAGAAGUGCCCAGAUUCAAAGGCAUCAUGAAGUGUCAUGACAAGAUAGAAAAGACUUUGAGCUGGCCAAGAAGGAAUUGGACAAAAUUAUGAGUGAGGUACAGCAAGUGGGAACAGUGUCACUGAACCCUAUCAACAGCAGAGCAUGAGAAUGUGAAUUCCUGUUGUUGGGGAGGCAAUGAAAUGAUAUGGGCCUUGAGAUGUCUAUGAAUCCUGACCCACCAUGGGUGCCAGUCUUCAAGAGGGUAAGCUGUGCUACCUUUUCACCCUUUGAAACCUGCUUGUUCUGCCCUUCACACAUUCCCACAAGUUAUUACUGCCUGGCUGAGAGAUUUCCUGUUUUACUUAUUUUCCCAUAAAGAAACCAUCUCUUAGCACUCAUGCCUUAAGGAGGACUAUGCCCUGCCAUCAGGGGAGUCUAAGACCAUGUGGUGACAUCAGGUGGUAUACCACAAACAUGGUCAGGUCAAUAAAUGCAUGGGUGCUCACAGCAAUAAAAGAUCUAUUAAUCAACAGGUAUUUUUAAAAAUAGCCACCAUUUAUUAAAGGUACUUAUC
This is a non-coding RNA of Macaca mulatta (Rhesus monkey), 1447 nucleotides long. Lineage: Eukaryota; Metazoa; Chordata; Mammalia; Primates; Cercopithecidae. The record is from RefSeq and is a predicted model, not a curated record.